GGACACCUCAGAGAGAAGGCAGCAUUAGAACUUGGAGAUGGAGCUACCUCAUCAGAGAGGGCUGUUCUACAGCUGAGAUUCAUUUUUAUUGAAGGCGGUGUGAGGCAGACAUGAAAGAGGGCAGAAUGAAAAGGACAACAUUUUACUUAAAAGGGAGACAAACUUUACAUUAUUAGAGACAAUCAUGAGAAACAUUAAUGAGUGCAGCUUAUCACUAGAAACACUUCUCCAGAAGGAUGCAUUUUAGGAGAUGGAAUUUUUAAGAAGUUCCUGUAUUCCACAUCCUGAAGCUUGAAACUCCCCUGUGUUGCAGAACCUGGAAGUAUGAAUUUUAUGGUAAGAUAACAAACUGAGAAACGUG
RNAcentral lists this long non-coding RNA (361 nucleotides) under Anser brachyrhynchus (Pink-footed goose). RNAcentral describes it as "lncRNA (ENSABRG00000016571.1)". The record is from RNAcentral. Lineage: Eukaryota; Metazoa; Chordata; Aves; Anseriformes; Anatidae.